UCGGGUGUGGUGCACGGCGCACCACUGCGCUAAUUUGAAAGCGAUGCGAGCUUCAAGCAGUUGGUCGGGGUUCGACUCCCCGCGCCCGAA
Non-coding RNA from Mycena vulgaris, 90 nucleotides. The record is from the annotation of a GenBank genome assembly. NCBI's taxonomy places the organism in Eukaryota, Fungi, Basidiomycota, Agaricomycetes, Agaricales, Mycenaceae.